GCUCCUGUCGUCUAGCGGCCGAGGAUACCGCCCUCUCAAGGCGGUGACGGGGGUUCGAGUCCCCUCAGGAGCUCCA
Molecule: transfer RNA, 76 nt
Filed under: Terriglobia bacterium
Lineage: Bacteria; Pseudomonadati; Acidobacteriota; Terriglobia
Description: tRNA-Glu
Rfam family: tRNA
About the family: Transfer RNA (tRNA) molecules are approximately 80 nucleotides in length. Their secondary structure includes four short double-helical elements and three loops (D, anti-codon, and T loops).
Source: RNAcentral